Molecule: ribosomal RNA, 492 nt
Filed under: uncultured bacterium
Lineage: Bacteria
Description: partial 16S ribosomal RNA
Rfam family: Bacterial small subunit ribosomal RNA
Source: RNAcentral
AGUGAACGCUGGCGGUAGGCCUAACACAUGCAAGUCGAACGGCAGCACAGUAAGAGCUUGCUCUUACGGGUGGCGAGUGGCGGACGGGUGAGGAAUACAUCGGAAUCUACUUUUUCGUGGGGGAUAACGUAGGGAAACUUACGCUAAUACCGCAUACGACCUACGGGUGAAAGCAGGGGAUCUUCGGACCUUGCGCGAUUGAAUGAGCCGAUGUCGGAUUAGCUAGUUGGCGGGGUAAAGGCCCACCAAGGCGACGAUCCGUAGCUGGUCUGAGAGGAUGAGCAGCCACACUGGAACUGAGACACGGUCCAGACUACUACGGGAGGCAGCAGUGGGGAAUAUUGGACAAUGGGAGCAAGCCUGAUCCAGCCAUACCGCGUGGGGGAAGAAGGCCUUCGGGUUGUAAAGCCCUUUUGUUGGGAAAGAAAAGCAGCAGGUUAAUACCCCGCUGUUCUGACGGUACCCAAAGAAUAAGCACCGGCUAACUUCGUG